This is a long non-coding RNA of Microplitis mediator, 1346 nucleotides long. RefSeq lists it as uncharacterized. The transcript has 3 exons. The record is from RefSeq and is a predicted model, not a curated record. NCBI's taxonomy places the organism in Eukaryota, Metazoa, Arthropoda, Insecta, Hymenoptera, Braconidae.
AUAGUGUGUGACUCAGGAUGAAACACGAUUUCAGACUACGAAUGAUGUCAGCCCUCGCCUACGGCUUAGGCAGUAACUUCACUCUGAUCUGAAAUCGUCUUGUUUCAUUCUUAGUCAUACAGUAUACUAUUUUGUUCGCGAUUGAAAUCCUUGAUCAAAAGAAACGAUUUACAAUGUGUUAAAAAUCCAUAAGACGAUCGAUUCAAAAGUAUUCAAAGUAUUCAAAAAAGCAUUGAAAAGUAUUUAAAAUUUUUUUUUUCUAAUCGUUUUGAAUCGUUUCUUUUAAUAAGGGAGUAUUAAUUCAUUUUAAGUUGCGUUUUUUUUCCAUAUUUAACUGUUAUUUCAAUGUGUUUAACAUUCUAGAAUUUUUAUCGAUAGUAUUUUGUUUCGCAAAUUUGUAUUGAUACAUAGUUUUAGUUUAUUCAUUAAUUUAUUUUUCGACAAAAUAGUCUAUACGAAUACUUGUUGCAUUUCGAAUAUUUUGCUCGGACCAAGUAUCUUUUGGAUGAUGGCUCUAGCCUCCAAAUUUAAAAAAACAACAUUCCAUACUAAUUUCAACGAAUACAGAAGUAGUCGUUAAUACCUGAUAUUCAAGUAACCAUGCUGAUAUUGGGAACUGACAAACUGGAUCACGCAGUCUGGUGGUAAAAAAUCAAACUAAUGAUAGCUUACAACAGUCAAGUAAAUACACAGUAAAUGCAUGCUAUUAACAUCAUCAAUAAAUUUUAUACAACAAAUUAUUGAUUAAGAAAUAAAAAUUAAAAUAGAAAUUGGAAUAUUUUCAGAACGUAAAAAGUUAAAAAAUUGAGUAUUUUGUGCAGUAAGAAGCUUCGGAGUGAAGCAAAGUGGCUGUUCCCUGAUAGCCACGUUAACCACAAGUCAACCAAGCUACUACUGUAUUCUGAAGCCAAUUUAAAGGAGUGUUGGAGAGCAAACUGUUACUGUCAGACAAUGACAUUAAGUUGAUUGAAAGUUUCACUUCAAAUUUUUCUGUCAAAAAUAAUUAAUGAUUCGUAAAAAAUUAAUAAAAAUAUUGAUCAAGAUUAUUUUUUCAUCAAAUUUGUCCUAAAAAUAUCCUAUAAUUUGUCACUAAGUCCCAUGUAUUUUCCCGCCAUGUAUCGAUAGUAAUUCUUUCUUUUUAUGGUCAAAAGACAGCCUGCCAGUAGUUUUUUUGACAUCAGCGAAUGACAUCAUGUUAAAAUCUUAAAAAUGUCAAAAAUUAAAAUAGAUAUUAUCAAAUGUUUACUUGUUUUAACUUUUAUCUCAACGAUCUGCUUUAUUUUUACUAUGAAAACAAAUUAAUUAGAAGUAAUAUCAUUAAUUUUACUUGAAUUUUUUAAUUGAAU